AGAGUUUGAUCCUGGCUCAGAUUGAACGCUGGCGGCAUGCCUAACACAUGCAAGUCGAACGGCAGCACAGUAGAGCUUGCUCUAUGGGUGGCGAGUGGCGGACGGGUGAGUAAUGCAUCGGGAUCUACCCAAACGUGGGGGAUAACGUAGGGAACUUACGCUAAUACCGCAUACGUCUUACGAGAGAAAGCAGGGGACCU
Molecule: ribosomal RNA, 200 nt
Filed under: uncultured bacterium
Lineage: Bacteria
Description: partial 16S ribosomal RNA
Rfam family: Bacterial small subunit ribosomal RNA
Source: RNAcentral